Molecule: ribosomal RNA, 513 nt
Filed under: uncultured bacterium
Lineage: Bacteria
Description: partial 16S ribosomal RNA
Rfam family: Bacterial small subunit ribosomal RNA
Source: RNAcentral
GACGAACGCUGGCGGCAUGCCUAAUACAUGCAAGUCGAGCGAACAGAUGAAGUGCUUGCACUUCUGACGUUAGCGGCGAACGGGUGAGUAACACGUAAGGAAUCUACCUAUAAGCGGGGGAUAACAUUCGGAAACGGGUGCUAAUACCGCAUAAUAUCUUCUUCCGCAUGGAAGAAGAUUGAAAGACGGCUCUGCUGUCACUUAUAGAUGACCUUGCGGUGCAUUAGUUAGUUGGUGGGGUAAUGGCCUACCAAGACGAUGAUGCAUAGCCGACCUGAGAGGGUGAUCGGCCACAUGGGGACUGAGACACGGCCCAAACUCAUACGGGAGGCAGCAGUAGGGAAUCUUCCGCAAUGGGCGAAAGCCUGACGGAGCAAUGCCGCGUGAGUGAAGAAGGCCUUCGGGUCGUAAAACUCUGUUAUAAGAGAAGAACAAAUUGUAGAGUAACUGCUACAGUCUUGACGGUAUCUUAUCAGAAAGCCACGGCUAACUACGUGCCAGCCGCCGUAAUAC